GACGAACGCUGGCGGCGUGCUUAACACAUGCAAGUCGAACGAAGAGCGAUGGAAGCUUGCUUCUAUCAAUCUUAGUGGCGAACGGGUGAGUAACGCGUAAUCAACCUGCCCUUCAGAGGUGGACAACAGUUGGAAACGACUGCUAAUACCGCAUACGAUCUAAUCUCGGCAUCGAGGAUAGAUGAAAGGUGGCCUCUACAUGUAAGCUAUCACUGAAGGAGGGGAUUGCGUCUGAUUAGCUAGUUGGAGGGGUAACGGCCCACCAAGGCGAUGAUCAGUAGCAGGUCUGAGAGGAUGAACGGCCACAUUGGGACUGAGACACGGCCCAGACUCCUACGGGAGGCAGCAGUGGGGAAUCUUCCGCAAUGGACGAAAGUCUGACGGAGCAACGCCGCGUGAGUGAUGACGGCCUUCGGGUUGUAAAGCUCUGUUAAUCGGGACGAAAGGCCUUCUUGCGAAUAGUGAGAAGGAUUGACGGUACCGGAAUAGAAAGCCACGGCUAACUACGUG
Molecule: ribosomal RNA, 510 nt
Filed under: uncultured bacterium
Lineage: Bacteria
Description: partial 16S ribosomal RNA
Rfam family: Bacterial small subunit ribosomal RNA
Source: RNAcentral